CCGCCUUUGUGACGACAGCUCCUUCUCUAGCACCAGGGGUGGCAAGUGACCUUGUGCGUGGGUGGUGGACGAGAUCUUGUUGGACAAGAUGAAGGUUGACAAGAAGCAGAUUGGUUAAUCCAACGAAACAAGAUGCUUCUACAGCUGAUGGAGGGAGGACAGCAAGCCUGCUUGAGCUUGCCUGGCCUGGAGCAUCUACGCAAAUCUUGCUCCAGGUUUGUGCUAGUUGCAGCACAGGGCUUGUGUAUAUGCUGCGAUGGCGGAGAUGAUAGAUGGCAAGUUGGCACGGGAGGAGCAGCAGCAGCUUU
Molecule: non-coding RNA, 308 nt
Organism: Lolium perenne
Lineage: Eukaryota; Viridiplantae; Streptophyta; Magnoliopsida; Poales; Poaceae
Source: RefSeq, a predicted model, not a curated record